AGGACGAACGCUGGCGGCGUGCUUAACACAUGCAAGUCGAGCGGUAAGGCCUUUCGGGGUACACGAGCGGCGAACGGGUGAGUAACACGUGGGUGAUCUGCCCUGCACUCUGGGAUAAGCCUGGGAAACUGGGUCUAAUACCGGAUAUGACCUGCUCUCGCAUGGGGGUGGGUGGAAAGAUUUAUCGGUGCAGGAUGGGCCCGCGGCCUAUCAGCUUGUUGGUGGGGUAAUGGCCUACCAAGGCGACGACGGGUAGCCGACCUGAGAGGGUGACCGGCCACACUGGGACUGAGACACGGCCCAGACUCCUACGGGAGGCAGCAGUGGGGAAUAUUGCACAAUGGGCGAAAGCCUGAUGCAGCGACGCCGCGUGAGGGAUGAAGGCCUUCGGGUUGUAAACCUCUUUCAGCAGGACGAAGCGCAAGUGACGGUACCUGCAGAAGAAGCACCGGCUAACUACGUGCCAGCAGCCGC
Molecule: ribosomal RNA, 474 nt
Filed under: uncultured soil bacterium
Lineage: Bacteria
Description: bacterial SSU rRNA
Rfam family: Bacterial small subunit ribosomal RNA
Source: RNAcentral